This is a long non-coding RNA of Lagopus muta (rock ptarmigan), 568 nucleotides long. RefSeq lists it as uncharacterized. The transcript has 3 exons. The record is from RefSeq and is a predicted model, not a curated record. NCBI's taxonomy places the organism in Eukaryota, Metazoa, Chordata, Aves, Galliformes, Phasianidae.
GGGGCACAGCUUGGUGUCCCCAUCAGUUAUGGGAUAUGGGGCACAGCAUGGUGUCCUAUAGGUCAUGGGAUAUGGGGCACAGCCUGGUGUCCUAUAGGUCAUGGGAUAUGGGGCACAGCAUGGUGUCCUAUAGGUCAUGGGAUAUGGGGCACAGCAUGGUGUCCUAUAGGUCAUAGGAUAUGGGGCACAGCAUGGUGUCCUAUAGGUCAUGGGAUAUGGGGCACAGCUUGGUGUCCUAUAGGUCAUAGGAUAUGGGGAUGUACAGAACGGCGUCCUAUGGGGAUGGGAGGUGUUUGACAUUCCAGUGUCCCCAUGGGGAAUGGGACACGAGGGACACGUAGCUUUGCGUCCCCACAGGUUAUGGGAUAUGGGGACACACAGAACGGCGUCCUAUGGGGCGCACCUCAAGGUCCCCAUAGGUUAUGGGACACCCAGCCCAGCAGGUCAGCGCUAUAUUUAAGAUGGCAGCGGGGGCCGAUGGGGGCUGCCGCUCUCCUCCCCCCCCCCCAUUGCGCCCUUCCUGACCUUGGGGGCACCGACGGCUCCGCAGUGCCGCCCCCCAGCGCUG